AGAGAGUCAAUCUGGGAAGUUCUGUAUGCCUUUCUCUCAACAGCUAGGGACUCCAGGAAGGUACAGAGCGUGUGUCUACCAUGGUGACUUUGAGAGCUCAGUCUAAAGCAGCGCUUCUCAAAUCUCAAUGUGCCUGUGGUCUCCCUGGGGACCUACAAUGCAGGCUGCCUUUCAGCAGAUCCAGACUGGGGCCCCAAAAGUCUACUUUUCUGACAAGCUCCCAAGAGCCCAGGGCAGUGGAUCUGAAGACCACACUUGGAGCGGCAAAGGUCAGGGACCCCAGGCUGAAAACGAGCAGGGUUUUAGGGACAGGCACA
This 317-nucleotide long non-coding RNA is filed under the name Fukomys damarensis (Damara mole-rat). RNAcentral describes it as "lncRNA (ENSFDAG00000030599.1)". The record is from RNAcentral. Lineage: Eukaryota; Metazoa; Chordata; Mammalia; Rodentia; Bathyergidae.